This 497-nucleotide ribosomal RNA is filed under the name uncultured bacterium. RNAcentral describes it as "partial 16S ribosomal RNA". It matches the Rfam family "Bacterial small subunit ribosomal RNA", at positions 28 to 507 of the family's 1533-position model. The record is from RNAcentral.
GAUGAACGCUGGCGGCGUGCCUAAUACAUGCAAGUCGAGCGAACGGACGAGAAGCUUGCUUCUCUGAUGUUAGCGGCGGACGGGUGAGUAACACGUGGAUAACCUACCUAUAAGACUGGGAUAACUUCGGGAAACCGGAGCUAAUACCGGAUAAUAUUAUGAACCGCAUGGUUCAAAAGUGAAAGACGGUCUUGCUGUCACUUAUAGAUGGAUCCGCUCUGCAUUAGCUAGUUGGUAAGGUAACGGCUUACCAAGGCAACGAUGCAUAGCCGACCUGAGAGGGUGAUCGGCCACACUGGAACUGAGACACGGUCCAGACUCCUACGGGAGGCAGCAGUAGGGAAUCUUCCGCAAUGGGCGAAAGCCUGACGGAGCAACGCCGCGUGAGUGAUGAAGGUCUUCGGAUCGUAAAACUCUGUUAUUAGGGAAGAACAUAUGUGUAAGUAACUGUGCACAUCUUGACGGUACCUAAUCAGAAAGCCACGGCUAACUACAUG